ACAAUGAAGAGUUUGAUCCUGGCUCAGGAUGAACGCUAGCUACAGGCUUAACACAUGCAAGUCGAGGGGCAGCAUUUCAGUUUGCUUGCAAACUGGAGAUGGCGACCGGCGCACGGGUGAGUAACACGUAUCCAACCUGCCGAUAACUCGGGGAUAGCCUUUCGAAAGAAAGAUUAAUACCCGAUGGUAUAAUCAGACCGCAUGGUCUUGUUAUUAAAGAAUUUCGGUUAUCGAUGGGGAUGCGUUCCAUUAGGCAGUUGGUGAGGUAACGGCUCACCAAACCUUCGAUGGAUAGGGGUUCUGAGAGGAAGGUCCCCCACAUUGGAACUGAGACACGGUCCAAACUCCUACGGGAGGCAGCAGUGAGGAAUAUUGGUCAAUGGGCGCAGGCCUGAACCAGCCAAGUAGCGUGAAGGAUGACUGCCCUAUGGGUUGUAAACUUCUUUUAUAUGGGAAUAAAGUUUUCCACGUGUGGAAUUUUGUAUGUACCAUAUGAAUAAGGAUCGGCUAACUCCGUGCCAGCAGCCGCGGUAAUACGGAGGAUCCGAGCGUUAUCCGGAUUUAUUGGGUUUAAAGGGAGCGUAGGUGGACAGUUAAGUCAGUUGUGAAAGUUUGCGGCUCAACCGUAAAAUUGCAGUUGAUACUGGCUGUCUUGAGUACAGUAGAGGUGGGCGGAAUUCGUGGUGUAGCGGUGAAAUGCUUAGAUAUCACGAAGAACUCCGAUUGCGAAGGCAGCUCACUGGACUGCAACUGACACUGAUGCUCGAAAGUGUGGGUAUCAAACAGGAUUAGAUACCCUGGUAGUCCACACAGUAAACGAUGAAUACUCGCUGUUUGCGAUAUACAGUAAGCGGCCAAGCGAAAGCAUUAAGUAUUCCACCUGGGGAGUACGCCGGCAACGGGUGAAACUCAAAGGAAUUGACGGGGGCCCGUACAAGCGGAGGAACAUGUGGUUUAAUUCGAUGAUACGCGAGGAACCUUACCCGGGCUUAAAUUGCAUUUGAAUAUAUUGGAAACAGUAUAGCCGUAAGGCAAAUGUGAAGGUGCUGCAUGGUUGUCGUCAGCUCGUGCCGUGAGGUGUCGGCUUAAGUGCCAUAACGAGCGCAACCCUUAUCUUUAGUUACUAACAGGUCAUGCUGAGGACUCUAGAGAGACUGCCGUCGUAAGAUGUGAGGAAGGUGGGGAUGACGUCAAAUCAGCACGGCCCUUACGUCCGGGGCUACACACGUGUUACAAUGGGGGGUACAGAAGGCAGCUACCUGGUGACAGGAUGCUAAUCCCAAAAGCCUCUCUCAGUUCGGAUCGAAGUCUGCAACCCGACUUCGUCAAGCUGGAUUCGCUAGUAAUCGCGCAUCAGCCAUGGCGCGGUGAAUACGUUCCCGGGCCUUGUACACACCGCCCGUCAAGCCAUGAAAGCCGGGGGUACCUGAAGUACGUAACCGCAAGGAGCGUCCUAGGGUAAAACUGGUAAUUGGGGCUAAGUCGUAACAAGGUAGCCGUACCGGAAGGUGCGGCUGGAACACCUCCUUU
Bacteroides thetaiotaomicron VPI-5482 is the source of this 1530-nucleotide ribosomal RNA. It matches the Rfam family "Bacterial small subunit ribosomal RNA". The record is from Rfam. Lineage: Bacteria; Pseudomonadati; Bacteroidota; Bacteroidia; Bacteroidales; Bacteroidaceae.